Gossypium raimondii (Peruvian cotton) is the source of this 421-nucleotide long non-coding RNA. RefSeq lists it as uncharacterized. NCBI's taxonomy places the organism in Eukaryota, Viridiplantae, Streptophyta, Magnoliopsida, Malvales, Malvaceae. The transcript is spliced from 2 exons. The record is from RefSeq and is a predicted model, not a curated record.
CUCUUCUCUUCUUCUUUCUUCUUCUCUUCUUUUCUCUUUUUUUUUGUUUUCAAUUGCUGUUUUUAUUUUCUCCUUUUUUGCUUGUUGCUUUGCUUGUUUGAGUUGUAGGUGUUGACGACGGUGGGCACGUUGGCGUUGGUGCGACGGCGGUAGCAAGUGGGCUAGGGAGAGGUAGGCCGGCCGCCGCCGUUGCAGGCGCAAGUUGGGCUGAUUGCUGUCAGAGGGACCAAAAUAUAAAUACAGCAAAAUUUUUGGGGCCAAAACGUAAUUUAGAGAAAGUUUAGGGGUUGAAAUGUAAUUUUGAGAAAGUUUAGGGGUCAAAAUGUAAUUUAGAAAAGUUUAGGGGUUGAAAUGUAAUUUCAAAAAAGUACAGGGGUCAAAAUGUAAUUUUUUUAAUUUUUUUUAAUUUUUUAACACAAAA